GACGAACGCUGGCGGCGUGCCUAACACAUGCAAGUCGAACGGUGAAGCGCCUUCCUUUUUGGUGGGUGUGGAUGAGUGGCGAACGGGUGAGUAACACGUGAGUAACCUGCCCCCUUCUUCUGGAUAACCGCAUGAAAGUGUGGCUAAUACGGGAUAUUCUGGGUCUGUCGCAUGAUGGGUCUGGGAAAGAUAUUGUUUCGGUGGGGGAUGGGCUCGCGGCCUAUCAGCUUGUUGGUGGGGUGAUGGCCUACCAAGGCGGUGACGGGUAGCCGGCCUGAGAGGGUGGACGGUCACACGGGGACUGAGACACGGACCAGACUCCGAAGGGAGGCAGCAGGGGGGAAUAUCGCACAAUGGGCGCAAGCCUGAUGAAGCGACGCCGCGUGAGGGAUGGAGGCCGUCGGGUUGUGAACCUCUUUCGCCAGUGAAGCAGGCCUGCCUCGUUUGUGGGUGGGUUGACGGUAGCUGGAUAAGAAGCGACGGCUAACUACGUG
RNAcentral lists this ribosomal RNA (494 nucleotides) under uncultured bacterium. RNAcentral's name for it is "partial 16S ribosomal RNA". It matches the Rfam family "Bacterial small subunit ribosomal RNA", at positions 28 to 507 of the family's 1533-position model. The record is from RNAcentral.